AUCUGCUCACAUUACCUAGGAAAUUCCAAGGGGUUUAGGAGCCGGGUGACAGGAACAGAGAUGAACGCUAAACAUGUAUUUCUUAUGAGUCACAGUAUCACACAAAGCUUGGUGGAGAAAGGAUGGGUAUGGGGGGGGGGCAGUUAGGGACCCCCAUAGAAGAGGACUGGGAAGGAAUGAGGUCAGGAUUAGUGGAGCCAGAGAGAUCCUGUGUGACUGGCCAGGAGGCCUGGCCCCUAUCGGGAAACCAUAGAUAAAAGAGCUUCAGUGACAGGAGAGGCUCCAAAGUGACCACAGACUCCCCCACAAAGGGAACCUGGCUCCGCAGGCGGCUGGACCUGCAGGCACUGAUGCAACACACAACUGUGACAUGCCAGGCAGGCUGUCCCCUGCUCUCCCCCUCCCCCUGCCCCCCAGGAACAGCCGCCCCUCUCCUAGAAGGGGGAAGGGGAUGGAGGGUGAAGCCAGAGAACUAGACUCUUCCUCUGUGCCUGCAACUUCCUCUGCCUAACUGGAAGAGGGAGAUGCUUUCAACUGAAUGGAGCUUGGAGUUGUGAUAUCCCACUGGCAAGCUCCCCAAACCCCAUCUGGUUCAGGUGAAGGAAGAGGGAAGGGAAUAUCUGGAAAGACUUUCUGGAGAAGGUGGCAUCUUGGUUCCUAUAAAAUAAUAAAAAAUGUAUGUAUUAGUCUCUACCCCUGAUUUCUGGGACAGAACUCCUAAAACCUCUGUAAUUUCUUAAAUGCAUCUUUUGUUCUAACAUUUGAUCUUUGACCCUGGUUCCUAACACAGGGAUCCUAAAUCCCUUGGAAUUUCCUUGGUGAGACAGCAAUGUCUUUUGUUCUAUUGAGGUGACCCUUGGUGGGCUCCUGGAUGGGGGCUAGUCAGUAGAAAGACGAAACCAUGAUGAAGCAGCUUGGAAUUUUCAACUCCACCCACCCCUCCCCCCAGCCCACCAUUCUCCAGAGGGGAGAAAGGGUUUGGAAAUGGAGUUAAUAACUGAUUACAGCCAUGUAAUAAAGCCUACAUAAAAUCCCA
This 1036-nucleotide long non-coding RNA is filed under the name Vulpes vulpes (red fox). RNAcentral describes it as "lncRNA (ENSVVUG00000001992.1)". The record is from RNAcentral. Lineage: Eukaryota; Metazoa; Chordata; Mammalia; Carnivora; Canidae.